AACGAACGCUGGCGGCAUGCCUAACACAUGCAAGUCGAACGAGACCUUCGGGUCUAGGGGCGCACGGGUGCGUAACGCGGGGGAACCUGCCCUUAGGUUCGGAAUAACUCCCCGAAAGGGGUGCUAAUACCGGAUAAUGUCUUCGGACCAAAGAUUUAUCGCCUUUGGAUGGGCCCGCGUUGGAUUAGCUAGUUGGUAGGGUAAAAGCCUACCAAGGCGACGAUCCAUAGCUGGUCUGAGAGGAUGAUCAGCCACACUGGGACUGAGACACGGCCCAGACUCCUACGGGAGGCAGCAGUGGGGAAUAUUGGACGCUGGGCGCAAGCCUGAUCCCGCCAUGCCGCGUGAGUGAUGAAGGCCUUAGGGUUGUAAAGCUCUUUUACCCGGGAUGAUAAUGACAGUACCGGGAGAAUAAGCACCGGCUAACUCCGUG
This 433-nucleotide ribosomal RNA is filed under the name uncultured bacterium. RNAcentral describes it as "partial 16S ribosomal RNA". It matches the Rfam family "Bacterial small subunit ribosomal RNA", at positions 29 to 507 of the family's 1533-position model. The record is from RNAcentral.